This 270-nucleotide ribosomal RNA is filed under the name uncultured bacterium. RNAcentral's name for it is "partial 16S ribosomal RNA". It matches the Rfam family "Bacterial small subunit ribosomal RNA", at positions 30 to 326 of the family's 1533-position model. The record is from RNAcentral.
AUUGAACGCUGGCGGCAUGGCUAAAACAUGCAAGUCGAACGUGCCCGCAAGGGCAAGUGGCGAAAGGGUCAGUAACGCGAUCGAACGUACCCCGAGGUGGGGGAUAGGGCGGGGAAACUCGCCAUAAUACCCCAUGAUGUCUCUGGACCAAAGGUUUACCGCCUUGGGAGCGGCGAUCGUCCUAUCAGGUAGUUGGCGGGGUAAAGGCCCACCAAGCCGAAGACGGGUAGCAGGUGUGAGAGCACGACCUGCGACAUCGGAACUGAGACA